RNAcentral lists this ribosomal RNA (1302 nucleotides) under metagenome. RNAcentral describes it as "bacterial LSU rRNA". It matches the Rfam family "Bacterial large subunit ribosomal RNA", at positions 1645 to 2925 of the family's 2925-position model. The record is from RNAcentral.
UACCCCAAACCAACACAGGUGGACAGGUAGAGCAUACCAAGGCGAGUGGGAUAACUAUGGUUAAGGAACUCGGCAAAUUGCCUCCGUAACUUCGGGAGAAGGAGGACCCCAGUAGCGUGAUGAGACUUGCUCUCUGAGCGUGAAGGGGUGGCACAAAAUUGAGGGAAGCGACUGUUUACCAAAAACACAGCAGCGUGCUAAGCCGUAAGGCGCUGUAUACGCUGUGACUCCUGCCCGGUGCUGGAAGGUUACGGGGAUGGGUUAGUCCUUCGGGACGAAGCUCUGAACCUAAGCCCCAGUAAACGGCGGCCGUAACUAUAACGGUCCUAAGGUAGCGAAAUUCCUUGUCGGGUAAGUUCCGACCUGCACGAAUGGAGUAACGACUUCCCUACUGUCUCAACCAUAGACCCAGUGAAAUUGAAGUACGAGUAAAGAUGCUCGUUAGCUGCAGAAGGACGGAAAGACCCCGUGGACCUUUACUAUAACUUGAUGUUGUGUUUUGUCAUAUGUUGUGUAGGAUAGGUGGGAGACUUGGAAGCAUGGACGCUAGUCUGUGUGGAGUCAUCGUUGAAAUACCACCCUGCAUAUGGUGAGGCUCUAACCUAGACCCGUUAUCCGGGUUGGGGACAGCGUCAGGCGGGUAGUUUAACUGGGGCGGUUGCCUCCUAAAGAGUAACGGAGGCGCCCAAAGGUUCCCUCAGCCUGGUUGGCAAUCAGGCGUUGAGUGCAAUGGCAAAAGGGAGCUUGACUGCGAGACCUACAAGUCGAGCAGGAGCGAAAGCUGGGCAUAGUGAUCCGGCGGUUGCGUGUGGAAGCGCCGUCGCUCAACGGAUAAAAGGUACCCCGGGGAUAACAGGCUAAUCUUGCCCAAGCGUCCAUAGCGACGGCAAGGUUUGGCACCUCGAUGUCGGCUCAUCGCAUCCUGGGGCUGAAGCAGGUCCCAAGGGUUGGGCUGUUCGCCCAUUAAAGCGGUACGCGAGCUGGGUUCAGAACGUCGUGAGACAGUUCGGUCCCUAUCCUCUGCAGCCGGAGGUGAAUUGAGGAAAGCUGUCCCUAGUACGAGAGGACCGGGACGGACGCAGCUCUCGUGUGCCAGUUGUCCUGCCAAGGGCAUGGCUGGUUAGCGACCUGCGGAAAGGAUAACCGCUGAAAGCAUCUAAGCGGGAAGCCUCUUCCAAGAUGAAUUCACCCACAGGGUUAACCUGGUAAGGCCCGUGGUAGACCACCACGUUGAUAGGCCGGAAGUGUAAGCGUGGCAACACGUUCAGCUGACCGGUACUAAUCGGCCGAGGGCUUGAGUUC